Long non-coding RNA from Thamnophis elegans (Western terrestrial garter snake), 660 nucleotides. RefSeq lists it as uncharacterized. Lineage: Eukaryota; Metazoa; Chordata; Lepidosauria; Squamata; Natricidae. The transcript is spliced from 2 exons. The record is from RefSeq and is a predicted model, not a curated record.
UGUGGCUGGUCCCGGGGGGGUGGAGUCACGCGCAGUGACGUUGAGUGCCAGCAAAAGGGAAGGAGAGGAUCCGCCUUGUCUCUGACGGAAGAGGAGCGGUUCUUUGUCAGGGGAAGACAACGGCAACUCGUUAGUAAGGUCUGAGAAUUGUAUAAACAGCUGCCUUAAAAUCACCAGAAGUCACACUGAGGGAAUCUGUUUCUUUUAUCUACAGACAUGCUGGAUAUGGGGGAGGAGAGUCUGUGUAUCCCUUUUAGUAUUUAAAUACACACAGUACUUCCGUAAGUCUCAGUUUUUCUACACACCGUAUUUCUGUUAAUUUUGGUUCCUAUUCUAUUACUGAAAUUUAUAUUCUAGGCCAGGGCUGCCAAGCUUCCUGCCCACGUGCUGGAUGCAUCAUGUACUGGCCACGCCCAUUCUAGCAUGGGGGGGGGAGUCCCAAUACGUCAUGUGAUGCCACCAUGACAAUGUGAGUUUGAUACUCCUGCUCUAGGCUAAUCAAAGCCUCUGGACAAUUCAAACACUGAUGGCAUCAAAAUGCAAUGAUGCAAUUAGGUGCCUUAUGUGCCAGAAUUGCUUUUAUGGUUCUGCGGUUUUAUUCCAUAAAGAUGAUAGCCGCAAAGUACAGAUAAUCUCUGACUUACAACAGUUCAUUUAGUG